AGUGAACGCUGGCGGUAGGCCUAACACAUGCAAGUCGAACGGCAGCACAGUAAGAGCUUGCUCUUACGGGUGGCGAGUGGCGGACGGGUGAGGAAUACAUCGGAAUCUACUUUUUCGUGGGGGAUAACGGAGGGAAACUUACGCUAAUACCGCAUACGACCUACGGGUGAAAGCAGGGGAUCUUCGGACCUUGCCCGAUUGAAUGAGCCGAUGUCGGAUUAGCUAGUUGGCGGGGUAACGGCCCACCAAGGCGACGAUCCGUAGCUGGUCUGAGAGGAUGAUCAGCCACACUGGAACUGAGACACGGUCCAGACUCCUACGGGAGGCAGCAGUGGGGAAUCUUGGACAAUGGGCGCAAGCCUGAUCCAGCCAUGCCGCGUGGGUGAAGAAGGCCUUCGGGUUGUAAAGCCCUUUUGUUGGGAAAGAACAGCAGCAGGUUAAUCCCCCGCUGUUCUGACGGUACCCAAAGAAUAAGCACCGGCUAACCUCGUG
RNAcentral lists this ribosomal RNA (492 nucleotides) under uncultured bacterium. Its description in RNAcentral is "partial 16S ribosomal RNA". It matches the Rfam family "Bacterial small subunit ribosomal RNA", at positions 29 to 507 of the family's 1533-position model. The record is from RNAcentral.